RNAcentral lists this transfer RNA (72 nucleotides) under Marmota marmota marmota (Alpine marmot). It matches the Rfam family "tRNA". From Rfam's summary of the family: Transfer RNA (tRNA) molecules are approximately 80 nucleotides in length. Their secondary structure includes four short double-helical elements and three loops (D, anti-codon, and T loops). Further hydrogen bonds mediate the characteristic L-shaped molecular structure. tRNAs have two regions of fundamental functional importance: the anti-codon, which is responsible for specific mRNA codon recognition, and the 3' end, to which the tRNAs corresponding amino acid is attached (by aminoacyl-tRNA synthetases). tRNAs cope with the degeneracy of the genetic code in two manners: having more than one tRNA (with a specific anti-codon) for a particular amino acid; and 'wobble' base-pairing, i.e. permitting non-standard base-pairing at the 3rd anti-codon position. The record is from Rfam by way of RNAcentral. Lineage: Eukaryota; Metazoa; Chordata; Mammalia; Rodentia; Sciuridae. RNAcentral also lists the same sequence under 2 other names.
UGGGGUAUGGCUCUCUGGUAGAGCAUGUGCCUAGCGUGUGUGAGGCUCUCAGUUCAAUCCCCAGUACCCCAA